RNAcentral lists this long non-coding RNA (1988 nucleotides) under Salvator merianae (Argentine black and white tegu). RNAcentral's name for it is "lncRNA (ENSSMRG00000007998.1)". The record is from RNAcentral. Lineage: Eukaryota; Metazoa; Chordata; Lepidosauria; Squamata; Teiidae.
AGAAGUUGUGCUGGGUUGUGCAAAGAAUCAGAUUCCAUACAGAAACCUCCAAAACAGAAUCUGUGCAUGUCGUGUCCACUGGGUUUAGUGGCUUUGGAAGAAGUAUCAGAAUUGGAGAGUAAUGUAGAUAUCCAGGUUCCCAGCAGAAAUGAUACCUCUUUACCUAAAGAUGCUCAGGGUUUGGGGUCCAAGAGCCUCCAAGAUCUAACCAGUACCAGUAAACAGAGUACAGAAUUGAGCCAUGAUUUAUCUUUGACUACAUUGGACUUAGUAUCAUUCCAGGCACAAGACCCAACCAUAAAUUAUAUUGAGCAACACCUUCAAUAUCUAAAUACCUCAGCGAGGAACUCUGUGUAUCUAGGAAAGGAAGAAGAAUCUGAUGCACUUUGCAUAGCGCAGCAAAGCUCCCUUGAUGAGUCACCAUGUGUUUUAGUUCUGGAAAAGGACAGAACAGAAUGUGACUGUAAUCCUAAAAGUCUUGCCUCCCACAGCAAUUGUUCUGAUGUAGUUCAGUCUGUGAAACCUUUGAGCCCAGUACCUGUCUCCAAUGAGACUCUGGUCCCAGAGGACUCAUACAACCUUUUUAGUCAAUACUCAGCUAUGUCAGACUGCAGACAGCCUGUUCAGUUUUUAACCUACUCAUCUGAUGCAGAAGCCCAGUCUCAGCCAUCACCUGCACCUCUUGGUCUCCCGUAUCCCAGUCAGUCUCUACAGCAAUUGUUUUCUCCCAUUCAAACUUCCCAUUUUUUACCUAAGGAUCCACAGUCUUCAGCUGUGGCAUCUGACACAGAAUCAUUUGGUCAACCUCCAUCUUCUGAGUAUAACACUCAUCAGCCCACACCACAGUCCUCCAGUUCUGACCAUCACAUGUCCCUAGGGUAUGAUGCUAACCAAUCUCCACCUGUGCCAAUAAUUUUCAAAAAUCCCAAGAAUUCUAUUUUUCCUGCUUUUCAUGCCAACCAAAUCAGGGAUUCUACAGUUCCUGAACUUGACUGUAGCCUCUCAGGCUUUGUCAUCAACAGCAGUAUCCUCAAUCCAUUUCCAGCUUCCCUGGCCAACAAUAAGCCUUCAUCUACAGAAAAUAAUCAGUUUGCCCAGCAUCCUGUUGAAACACAUGAGUCCAAUCUCUUCAAUGACCACAUAGGUGAUGAUGAUGAUGAUAACAACAAUAUGCACACUGAUGUUCAUAUCUGUCAAACCACACCCAACACAUAUGAAACUGAGGAUCCUGCCCCAAUUACAAGCUUAGAGGGUACACUUGAAGAUCUCUCUGUUGUAGAGUUGGCCAAGUCAGACAGCAUACCUUCUCUAAAAGGUGAGAAAGACUGGAAUACACAUAAAGCAUCCGGUGACAGUGGAGUCAGUCUACUGGACACACACUCAGAUUUAGUCCAUUUAGGAAAUGAUACAUCAAGGUCCAAAAUCGACAGGAAUACAGAUAAUGAGACGUCUUCAUCGGAAGCUACAGAAACCAGGUGCACAGUGCAGCACCCUCCAUUUCUAGCUUUCACCAACCCAAUGCACUUCUUUCAGCUUGGUCCUCCAUUGCCAUCAACUAUGAAACACCCAUGUAAGCAACAGUAUUUCUCUCAGGAGCCACUAUGGCAGCAGCAACAGAAACAAAAUGCCACGAUGGAUGCAGAGGUCAUGAGAUCAUCUACUAUUACAUGUCAGGAAGCAAAAGGCCCUGAAAGAUUCAGGGAUGGCUUCGAAAAACCAGGGCUGGAGUCAAUGCCAUCCGUGCUUCAUAGUAACGAAGACGUUGCCAAACAUCCACCCUUAGAGAAGUCUUCAAGUUGCCCCAGUAAAAAUGUCAUUGGGUUGGACUCAAAACUAGCAUUCAGUUCAAAGAAACAGGAAGUGUUAAUCAAGCAACGAGCAAAAAGCAAAGACUGGCAUCGACAGGGUGUCAGAAAAGCCUCGGUGCCAACAGACAAUGUAUCACGUGAGUGCUUUUUAAUUAAUCCCUGCUUCUUCACUGAAUUGAC